Molecule: long non-coding RNA, 2382 nt
Organism: Brassica rapa (field mustard)
Lineage: Eukaryota; Viridiplantae; Streptophyta; Magnoliopsida; Brassicales; Brassicaceae
Source: RefSeq, a predicted model, not a curated record
GAACCAGAGAAGGAGUUUCGGGAAUGAGAAUUUAGUUGCCGGAGAUUCCGGCGGUUUGUGGAUCGGGUCGGGUCGUUUCGAUGAUUCUUCCAUCGGUUUGAGGGUAUUUCCGGGAUGUGGAUAAAUCAAAUCAGAGGCGGAGAUUAAGCUCUACACUUCGGUUUCUCGAUUUUAUAAGACACAUCUUUAGGAGUAAUCAUAACUUGUAGUGGGAGAACUGAUUAUCAGUCGGAGCAGAUUAGCACGAAGUGUGAGAUCAUUGGAACGAUGACGGCGAGGAGGAAGAAGAGGGACCAAGAGAUCAGAGUUUUAAGGCGGCUCGACUGAUCGAACCAGAGAAGGAGUUUCGGGAAUGAGAAUUUAGUUGCCGGAGAUUCCGGCGGUUUGUGGAUCGGGUCGGGUCGUUUCGAUGAUUCUUCCAUCGGUUUGAGGGUAUUUCCGGGAUGUGGAUAAAUCAAAUCAGAGGCGGAGAUUAAGCUCUACACUUCGGUUUCUCGAUUUUAUAAGACACAUCUGUAAGUUUUCUUUCCUUUUGUCGUAUUAAAAUUAAAAUACUCCAUUUAAUAAAAAAGAUGGCCGUUGAAUUUAUAAAAUACUAGUAUUACUGUCCCGUGCUAAGCACGGGUAUACUUUUUGGUGGCUUUUGAAUUAUUUAAAAAAUAAAAUUGUAACGUUUUAAAUCAAAAUUGAAUUUAUUUUAAUUUUUUUUUGCUGAAGCUAGGUAACACCUAGAAAUAUCGUAUUUGCUAUAUUCAGUUUUAUUUGUAUUUGUUUUGUAAAUAGUUCUUCUUUAAAAUAAAUUUAUUGGAAUUAAUAUUGAAAAAUAUAAAACUAACAUGCAUACAAAAUAGUCAAUAUAAUAGACUUAUUUUUCAAGCAAAAUUUUUGUAAGAAUAUGCUAUGUCACAUUAAAAAAGGAUUUGUUAAAUAGUCAAACUAUAACAAACAAAUUUGUAAAUACCUAAAUUGGAUCAUCAUAGUUAUUGAUAUUUUUUUUCCCUCGGUUAGACUCGCAUCGCAUCAUUAGCCAUGAGAUUUGAUUUCAAAGUUACAAAAACAAAAUAGAAAUUCUUAAAGUGUUUUGUUCAAAAAAAAAAAAUUCUUAAAGUGUAACAUAAGAGAAAGAGAGAGAGAGAGCCAGAGAAUAACUAAAGAUAGAAGAUACCACUUGUUUACGGUUUUGCUUGUGUUUUAUGUUUGCUGGGUUCUUUCGCUUGACUUUUUCUUCUUUCCUUUUCAUUUCUGUUUAUAUCGGAUGAAAUAAAUGUAUCUAGUUUCACAAAGAUAAGACAUAUAAAAGAGUUGAGAUGAUUAUGGUUACCUUCGUUGCUGAUAGAGCUUUAACUUUCAGUUAGGAGUAAUCAUAACUUGUAUGGAAUUAUUUUGAUCAGUGGGAGAACUGAUUAUCAACCGGAGAAGAAACAAUGAAGAAGGAAGUAAAAUUAAAUAAGAUAGAAAGGUAAAACAGAAAAACAGUUAUAGAACGUGAUCUUUAUUUUGUAAGUGGGUGAGAUAAUUUAGGGAUUUAGUUUUUUUUUUCAAUUUUUCACGUGAAAUUCCAAAAUCAUUAUUAAUCAAUCUUAUUUGUUUUGUAAAUUUUUGUUUUGCCACAUGUCUAAUUAUGAUUUGCUAGGCGACUUGCGCUUUAGUAUAUAAGGGAUACUGUAAUAGUCUGUCUGUCAUGUCUAUCACGUUUUGACUCUCUUCACCAUGUGUCUUGCAUUUUUAUGUUAUGUAGCCGACAGAUUAUACAAUGAUUGAUUUAUUACGGUAAUUUAAGAAUCUAACUAGUGUUGACAUUUUAUUAGAGACAAAUUAUAGGGCACGUCUCCUUUUUUCCAUUUAUAAUGAGUACUAGAUUUUGACCCGCGCUUUCAAAACGCGGGAUUAUUUUCGAAACAUUCCAAAUUUAUUUGAUAUAAAUUUGUAUUUUAAUUGUAUCUACACUUAGAUAUUACAAAUGAAAAAUUAUAUUCAAUGUUUUGAAAUCCGACCCGACCCGCAGUUAAAUUGCCAAAUUCGGUGGUUCAUAUGUAAUCCAUUUUAGUUUUCAAAAAAAAAACUGUUAUUUAAAAAUUUUGUAAAACCCGUAACAACUGUUAAAACCCGAGAUCUGGUUAUCGGUUGAACUGAUAGAUGACCCAAUAUGUAAUCCGGUUUGAUUUAUUAUUAUAUUUAGAGUAUUGUAAUAUAUAUUUAUGAACGUUCAGAUGAAUAGUGAAUAUAUUAUGAAAUUGAUAUUCCAAUUUUAAUACAAUUUUAGUCCAACUAAAAUUCCAUCUUGUUAAUGGAUUAAUAUUUGAGUAGAUACAUACUAAAAAUAAAAUAGAUUUGAGCAUCAAUAAUAUGUAUACGUCUAUUACAAAUUAAUGAUUUAAGUUU